RNAcentral lists this ribosomal RNA (253 nucleotides) under uncultured bacterium. Its description in RNAcentral is "partial 16S ribosomal RNA". It matches the Rfam family "Bacterial small subunit ribosomal RNA", at positions 524 to 776 of the family's 1533-position model. The record is from RNAcentral.
UACGGAGGGGGCUAGCGUUGUUCGGAAUUACUGGGCGUAAAGCGCACGUAGGCGGCUUUCUAAGUCAGGGGUGAAAUCCUGGAGCUCAACUCCAGAACUGCCUUUGAUACUGGGAAGCUCGAGUCCGGAAGAGGUGAGUGGAACUGCGAGUGUAGAGGUGAAAUUCGUAGAUAUUCGCAAGAACACCAGUGGCGAAGGCGGCUCACUGGUUCGGUACUGACGCUGAGGUGCGAAAGCGUGGGGAGCAAACAGG